This 595-nucleotide ribosomal RNA is filed under the name Clostridioides difficile. RNAcentral describes it as "partial 23S ribosomal RNA". It matches the Rfam family "Bacterial large subunit ribosomal RNA", at positions 1 to 486 of the family's 2925-position model. Lineage: Bacteria; Bacillati; Bacillota; Clostridia; Peptostreptococcales; Peptostreptococcaceae. The record is from RNAcentral.
UGGUCAAGUUAUUAAGGGUGCAGGGUGGAUGCCUUGGCACUAGGAGCCGAUGAAGGACGUGAUAAGCUGCGAUAAGCUUCGGGGAGUUGCACGUAAACUUUGAUCCGAAGAUUUCCGAAUGAGGAAACUCACUUAGAGUAAUGUCUAAGUAUCAUUAAGUGAAUACAUAGCUUAAUGAGGGGAACUCAGGGAACUGAAACAUCUAAGUACCUGAAGGAAGAGAAAGAAAUUCGAUUCCGUAAGUAGCGGCGAGCGCUUAAAUCUUUGAUUUACUUAGUAGCCUCUUACAAUGCACUUAUAGCUUAAAUUUAUACAAGCUUUGUGCGUUAGCACUUUAAGCAACAGAAUAAACNNNNNNNNNNNNNNNNNNNNGAUUAGCCCAAACCAAUAAAGUUUUCUUUAUUGGGGUUGCGGACAUAUCAUAACGAAGAGGUAUCGUAAUUGAAGAGGUUUGGAAAGACCCACCACAGAAGGUAAUAGUCCUGUAUGUUAAACGAGAAGACUUCAGAUAUGAUCCAGAGUACCACGGGACACGUGAAACCCUGUGGGAAGCAGGAGGGACCACCCUCCAAGGCUAAAUACUACCUAGUGACCG